GAUGAACGCUGGCGGCGUGCCUAAUACAUGCAAGUCGAGCGAACAGACGAGGAGCUUGCUCCUCUGACGUUAGCGGCGGACGGGUGAGUAACACGUGGAUAACCUACCUAUAAGACUGGGAUAACUUCGGGAAACCGGAGCUAAUACCGGAUAAUCUAUUGAACCGCAUGGUUCAAUAGUGAAAGACGGUUUUGCUGUCACUUAUAGAUGGAUCCGCGCCGCAUUAGCUAGUUGGUAAGGUAACGGCUUACCAAGGCAACGAUGCGUAGCCGACCUGAGAGGGUGAUCAGCCACACUGGAACUGAGACACGGUCCAGACUCCUACGGGAGGCAGCAGUAGGGAAUCUUCCGCAAAGGGCGAAAGCCUGACGGAGCAACGCCGCGUGAGUGAUGAAGGUCUUCGGAUCGUAAAACUCUGUUAUUAGGGAAGAACAAAUGUGUAAGUAACUAUGCACGUCUUGACGGUACCUAAUCAGAAAGCCACGGCUAACUACGUG
Molecule: ribosomal RNA, 497 nt
Filed under: uncultured bacterium
Lineage: Bacteria
Description: partial 16S ribosomal RNA
Rfam family: Bacterial small subunit ribosomal RNA
Source: RNAcentral